Styela clava is the source of this 1352-nucleotide long non-coding RNA. RefSeq lists it as uncharacterized. NCBI's taxonomy places the organism in Eukaryota, Metazoa, Chordata, Ascidiacea, Stolidobranchia, Styelidae. The record is from RefSeq and is a predicted model, not a curated record.
UCAGUCUGGGCGGGAAUGUGGAGAAGCGCGUCGCUUUUCUCAACCAGUCACUGGGGUGCGUGAUGACGAAUGGUUUGUCUGUUUCGUGUAGGACGAAGGCUAUUCAACGUAGUCGUUGAUUCCUUGGAUGCAACAUUAAGAUAUCCUACAUGGUUUGGCAAUUACGUGGAUCAUUUUUGUACAAAGAGAUAUCGACCAUAUCCUGGAGAAAAUACGUUUGCAAACAUGCGAAGAUAGGCGCCAGACAGGGGCUGCUAUGUCAAAUCUUAUUGUUUCGUGAACUCAAGAUUGAUUGUCGGAACAAGGCAAAAGUCACCAUUGUGAAUUAUACAACUAUGUGAAGUGGAGAGUUAAGUGUUUUACUAUUUUUAAAAAAAAAUUUCCACGGGGGGUUGGGCGUAUAUGUGCAACAAAAAGAACAUUUUCCAUACGUUGGCCUCAGAUUGGGUCACGUAUGUUAUUUAAGAUAAAAAAAAAAGCCUUUUUCUUGUAGUUGGCAUUGGAGCAUUGUUGCAUAAGUAUACCGUUUGAGUUAUUUAUUUUAUAGGAAUUCAAUACAUCAAAAAAUUAAUUUUGUCAAUGCAUUGAGAUGAUACAUUGGAUUGGCUCACAGAGACUAAAGAAUAACCUUAAAAUUUUGUUAUACCCUUGUCAGAAGUAAUAACUGCCAGUGUUAUUGAGUUUACCCCUUCUAUUAUCAAUUAUAUAAUUUUCCAACUAAAUGAAAACUAAGUCUAACUAUGAGCUUGUUAUCAGUCGUACACGUGGGUUGUAGCGAUUUACAAUAUAAAUCUAUCAGAAUAGUGUUUAUUACAUUUUGCUACAUUUAAUUUAUUUUAGAUUAAACAAAUCAAUGGAAUUGAAACUGAUUAUAUUUUUCUAGAAACAAGACAAAUUUGAAAACGUGAGCGGCUAUAGGGAACAAAUGUUCUACUAAGCUUCCACAUGCAAGGUUGACUAUAAACUUCACUGCAUGCAAUGGAUGGCGAGCGUGUGAAAAUGUCAAUGCAGAGGAAGACAUUUUAGGUUCAGUUUUGGUUCUUUUGAAAAAUUUCAUGAUUCCACUAUUCCCCUGUCAACAACAUUUUGUUUAGUGUAAUGUUUUUUAAUUUUAUGCUUCAUACAAAUUUUGGUCCUGAGAACCGGUGUUGCAGAGUCAACACAUAACCAAUUUGUACUAAGUUCAGUUAGCUGUUUAUCUAAGUUCAUUGUAUAAUUAUUUUUUAAUUUUACUGAUUUAUGCUCAACAUAACUAAGCCAAUUGGCAAGUUCAUAUGGGUUUUAAAUUAGGUGUCGGACGUGCAUGCAUUCACAAUGUGGAACUGCACUGCAUUUUUGGUAUUUUCUAUUUG